UACGUAGGGUGCGAGCGUUAAUCGGAAUUACUGGGCGUAAAGCGUGCGCAGGCGGUUUUGUAAGUCAGAUGUGAAAUCCCCGGGCUCAACCUGGGAACUGCGUUUGAAACUACAAGGCUAGAGUGUAGCAGAGGGGGGGUAGAAUUCCACGUGUAGCAGUGAAAUGCGUAGAGAUGUGGAGGAAUACCAAUGGCGAAGGCAGCCCCCCUGGGUUAACACUGACGCUCAUGCACGAAAGCGUGGGGAGCAAACAGG
Molecule: ribosomal RNA, 255 nt
Filed under: uncultured bacterium
Lineage: Bacteria
Description: partial 16S ribosomal RNA
Rfam family: Bacterial small subunit ribosomal RNA
Source: RNAcentral